This 465-nucleotide ribosomal RNA is filed under the name uncultured bacterium. RNAcentral's name for it is "bacterial SSU rRNA". It matches the Rfam family "Bacterial small subunit ribosomal RNA", at positions 917 to 1382 of the family's 1533-position model. The record is from RNAcentral.
GGACCCGCACAAGCGGUGGAUUAUGUGGAUUAAUUCGAUGCAACGCGAAAAACCUUACCUACCCUUGACAUGUCCUGGAGCCCGAUGAGAGUUGGGUGUGCCCGAAAGGGAACGGGAACACAGGUGCUGCAUGGCUGUCGUCAGCUCGUGUCGUGAGAUGUUGGGUUAAGUCCCGCAACGAGCGCAACCCUUGUCAUUAGUUGCUACAUUCAGUUGGGCACUCUAAUGAGACUGCCGGUGACAAACCGGAGGAAGGUGGGGAUGACGUCAAGUCCUCAUGGCCCUUAUGGGUAGGGCUUCACACGUAAUACAAUGGCGCGUACAGAGGGCUGCUAAGCCGCGAGGUAGAGCCAAUCCCUUAAAGCGCGUCGUAGUCCGGAUUGCAGUCUGCAACUCGACUGCAUGAAGUCGGAAUCGCUAGUAAUCGCGGAUCAGCAUGUCGCGGUGAAUACGUUCCCGGGUCUU